GCAAACUUGGUCAUUUAGAGGAAGUAAAAGUCGUAACAAGGUUUCCGUAGGUGAACCUGCGGAAGGAUCAUUAAUAAAUUUCCAUUCAUAUUCACCCUGUGUGCAGUUUUGUAUGAAAGUUAAUAUCUUUGGAAAGAUAUAGUAAUCUUUUCAAAGAGGUUAUCAUAAUCAAUCUACUUCUUUUUUUUUUUACUGUGAUUAAAAAUAAAUAAAUAUAUAUAAAAACUUUCAACAACGGAUCUCUUGGCUCUCGCAUCGAUGAAGAACGCAGC
RNAcentral lists this unclassified non-coding RNA (272 nucleotides) under uncultured fungus. RNAcentral describes it as "partial contains small subunit ribosomal RNA, internal transcribed spacer 1, and 5.8S ribosomal RNA". The stretch from base 1 to 73 matches the Rfam family "Eukaryotic small subunit ribosomal RNA", at positions 1759 to 1831 of the family's 1831-position model. The record is from RNAcentral. Lineage: Eukaryota; Fungi.